Molecule: ribosomal RNA, 915 nt
Filed under: uncultured Thermus sp.
Lineage: Bacteria; Thermotogati; Deinococcota; Deinococci; Thermales; Thermaceae
Description: bacterial SSU rRNA
Rfam family: Bacterial small subunit ribosomal RNA
Source: RNAcentral
ACGGGAGGCAGCAGUUAGGAAUCUCCGCAAUGGGCGCAAGCCUGACGGAGCGACGCCGCUGGAGGAGGAAGCCCUUCGGGGUGUAAACUCCUGAACCCGGGACGAAACCCCCGAUGAGGGGACUGACGGUACCGGGGUAAUAGCGCCGGCCAACUCCGUGCCAGCAGCCGCGGUAAUACGGAGGGCGCGAGCGUUACCCGGAUUUACUGGGCGUAAAGGGCGUGUAGGCGGCUUGGGGCGUCCCAUGUGAAAGGCCACGGCUCAACUGUGGAGGAGCGUGGGAUACGCUCAGGCUAGACGGUGGGAGAGGGUGGUGGAAUUCCCGGAGUAGCGGUGAAAUGCGCAGAUACCGGGAGGAACGCCGAUGGCGAAGGCAGCCACCUGGCUCACCUGUGACGCUGAGGCGCGAAAGCGUGGGGAGCAAACCGGAUUAGAUACCCGGGUAGUCCACGCCCUAAACGAUGCGCGCUAGGUCUCUGGGUUAUCUGGGGGCCGAAGCCAACGCGUUAAGCGCGCCGCCUGGGGAGUACGGCCGCAAGGCUGAAACUCAAGGGAAUUGACGGGGGCCCGCACAAGCGGUGGAGCAUGUGGUUUAAUUCGAAGCAACGCGAAGAACCUUACCAGGCCUUGACAUGCUAGGGAACCUGGGUGAAAGCCUGGGGUGCCCCGCGAGGGGAGCCCUAGCACAGGUGCUGCAUGGCCGUCGUCAGCUCGUGUCGUGAGAUGUUGGGUUAAGUCCUGCAACGAGCGCAACCCCUGCCGUUAGUUGCCAGCGGGUCGAGCCGGGCACUCUAACGGGACUGCCUGCGAAAGCAGGAGGAAGGCGGGGACGACGUCUGGUCAUCAUGGCCCUUACGGCCUGGGCGACACACGUGCUACAAUGCCCACUACAGAGCGAGGCGACCUGGCGACAGU